This 353-nucleotide transfer-messenger RNA is filed under the name Actinomycetota (actinobacteria). Its description in RNAcentral is "Hydromicrobium sp016870675 Standard tmRNA". It matches the Rfam family "transfer-messenger RNA". From Rfam's summary of the family: Bacterial tmRNA, also known as 10Sa RNA or SsrA, is named for its dual tRNA and mRNA-like properties. Lineage: Bacteria; Bacillati. RNAcentral also lists the same sequence under 1 other name. The record is from RNAcentral.
GGGGGCGAUCUGGAUUCGACGGGGAUAGGUUGAGCUUAAAUUGCAAGUCGAGUAUCAGAACUCGUAAAUAACUGAGCUAAACAUAAACGCUAAUAAUAGUGAAUUAGCAUUAGCAGCUUAAAUUAAGUUGCUACGUCUGCGAAAAGUUUCCUGUGCUUUUCGACAGGCGCCGGUUAGCAGGAUACUCCAGUGUGAUUUGUCUGCAGUAAUACUGGAGGAAAUUUAAUGCGGGCUGGCUUUUUUGAUCGUGUCCAUACGAGCAUAAAAAGUGAGAUUUAAAAUAUGGAACAAGCUUGUAGAUAUUUAAGUGACAAUGUCUUCGGACGCGGGUUCGAUUCCCGCCGCCUCCACCA